UACGGGGGGGGCAAGCGUUGUUCGGAAUUACUGGGCGUAAAGGGCUCGUAGGCGGCCAACUAAGUCAGACGUGAAAUCCCUCGGCUUAACCGGGGAACUGCGUCUGAUACUGGAUGGCUUGAGGUUGGGAGAGGGAUGCGGAAUUCCAGGUGUAGCGGUGAAAUGCGUAGAUAUCUGGAGGAACACCGGUAGCGAAGGCGGCAUCCUGGACCAAUUCUGACGCUGAGGAGCGAAAGCCAGGGGAGCAAACGGG
RNAcentral lists this ribosomal RNA (253 nucleotides) under uncultured bacterium. Its description in RNAcentral is "partial 16S ribosomal RNA". It matches the Rfam family "Bacterial small subunit ribosomal RNA", at positions 524 to 776 of the family's 1533-position model. The record is from RNAcentral.